AGAGUUUGAUCCUGGCUCAGGACGAACGCUGGCGGCGCGCCUAACACAUGCAAGUCGAACGAGCGAGAGAGAGCUUGCUUUCUCGAGCGAGUGGCGAACGGGUGAGUAACGCGUGAGGAACCUGCCUCAAAGAGGGGGACAACAGUUGGAAACGACUGCUAAUACCGCAUAAGCCCACGGCUCGGCAUCGAGCAGAGGGAAAAGGAGCAAUCCGCUUUGAGAUGGCCUCGCGUCCGAUUAGCUAGUUGGUGAGGUAACGGCCCACCAAGGCGACGAUCGGUAGCCGGACUGAGAGGUUGAACGGCCACAUUGGGACUGAGACACGGCCCAGACUCCUACGGGAGGCAGCAGUGGGGAAUAUUGCACAAUGGGGGAAACCCUGAUGCAGCGACGCCGCGUGGAGGAAGAAGGUCUUCGGAUUGUAAACUCCUGUUGUUGGGGAAGAUAAUGACGGUACCCAACAAGGAAGUGACGGCUAACUACGUGCCAGCAGCCGCGGUAAAACGUAGGUCACAAGCGUUGUCCGGAAUUACUGGGUGUAAAGGGAGCGCAGGCGGGAAGACAAGUUGGAAGUGAAAUCUAUGGGCUCAACCCAUAAACUGCUUUCAAAACUGUUUUUCUUGAGUAGUGCAGAGGUAGGCGGAAUUCCCGGUGUAGCGGUGGAAUGCGUAGAUAUCGGGAGGAACACCAGUGGCGAAGGCGGCCUACUGGGCACCAACUGACGCUGAGGCUCGAAAGUGUGGGUAGCAAACAGGAUUAGAUACCCUGGUAGUCCACACCGUAAACGAUGAUUACUAGGUGUUGGAGGAUUGACCCCUUCAGUGCCGCAGUUAACACAAUAAGUAAUCCACCUGGGGAGUACGACCGCAAGGUUGAAACUCAAAGGAAUUGACGGGGGCCCGCACAAGCAGUGGAGUAUGUGGUUUAAUUCGACGCAACGCGAAGAACCUUACCAAGUCUUGACAUCCCUUGACGAUGCUGGAAACAGUAUUUCUCUUCGGAGCAAGGAGACAGGUGGUGCAUGGUUGUCGUCAGCUCGUGUCGUGAGAUGUUGGGUUAAGUCCCGCAACGAGCGCAACCCUUAUGGUCAGUUACUACGCAAGAGGACUCUGGCCAGACUGCCGUUGACAAAACGGAGGAAGGUGGGGAUGACGUCAAAUCAUCAUGCCCUUUAUGACUUGGGCUACACACGUACUACAAUGGCGUUAAACAAAGAGAAGCAAGACCGCGAGGUGGAGCAAAACUCAGAAACAACGUCCCAGUUCGGACUGCAGGCUGCAACUCGCCUGCACGAAGUCGGAAUUGCUAGUAAUCGUGGAUCAGCAUGCCACGGUGAAUACGUUCCCGGGCCUUGUACUAAGCGCCCGUCA
Molecule: ribosomal RNA, 1370 nt
Filed under: uncultured bacterium
Lineage: Bacteria
Description: bacterial SSU rRNA
Rfam family: Bacterial small subunit ribosomal RNA
Source: RNAcentral